This 255-nucleotide ribosomal RNA is filed under the name uncultured bacterium. RNAcentral describes it as "partial 16S ribosomal RNA". It matches the Rfam family "Bacterial small subunit ribosomal RNA", at positions 74 to 334 of the family's 1533-position model. The record is from RNAcentral.
CAAACUAAAGAUGGCGACCGGCGCACGGGUGAGUAACACGUAUCCAACCUGCCGAUAACUCGGGGAUAGCCUUUCGAAAGAAAGAUUAAUACCCGAUGGCAUAAUAGAACCGCAUGGUUUGAUUAUUAAAGAAUUUCGGUUAUCGAUGGGGAUGCGUUCCAUUAGGCAGUUGGUGGGGUAACGGCCCACCAAACCUUCGAUGGAUAGGGGUUCUGAGAGGAAGGUCCCCCACAUUGGAACUGAGACACGGUCCAA